AUUGAACGCUGGCGGAAUGCUUUACACAUGCAAGUCGAACGGCAGCACGGACUUCGGUCUGGUGGCGAGUGGCGAACGGGUGAGUAACAUAUCGGAACGUAUCCAAUAAUGGGGGAUAACUAAUCGAAAGGUAGGCUAAUACCGCAUACGCCCUACGGGGGAAAGCUAGGGACCUUCGGGCCUGGCGUUAAUGGAGCGGCCGAUAUCUGAUUAGCUAGUUGGUGGGGUAAAGGCCCACCAAGGCGACGAUCAGUAGCUGGUCUGAGAGGACGACCAGCCACACUGGAACUGAGACACGGUCCAGACUCCUACGGGAGGCAGCAGUGGGGAAUUUUGGACAAUGGGCGCAAGCCUGAUCCAGCCAUUCCGCGUGAGUGAAGAAGGCCUUCGGGUUGUAAAGCUCUUUCGCAAGGGAAGAAAACUUAGCCUCUAACAUAGGCUGAGGUUGACGGUACCUUGAUAAGAAGCACCGGCUAACUACGUGCCAGCCGCCGCUGUAG
RNAcentral lists this ribosomal RNA (500 nucleotides) under uncultured bacterium. Its description in RNAcentral is "partial 16S ribosomal RNA". It matches the Rfam family "Bacterial small subunit ribosomal RNA", at positions 30 to 523 of the family's 1533-position model. The record is from RNAcentral.